UGUGUUUGUGUGUGUGCAGGUGCGUGUGCAUGUGCAUGUGCGUGUGUGUCUGUGUCAGUGUCGGUGUCUGUGUGUGUGUAUCUGUGUGUGUGUGUGCCCUAUAAUGUUACUGUG
RNAcentral lists this microRNA precursor (114 nucleotides) under Vicugna pacos (alpaca). RNAcentral's name for it is "miRNA (ENSVPAG00000015659.1)". The record is from RNAcentral. Lineage: Eukaryota; Metazoa; Chordata; Mammalia; Artiodactyla; Camelidae.